UUGGAUGAAUGAAAAGGACAUUCAUGAGAGACUCCAGAAGAACCAGGCCUUUUCAGUGAAAGUAAACAACUUACGGAAUAAAGACGAGUGUAGAUCUGCUCUGACAAUGAUUAAAGGGUGAACAGAGAAUGCUGAAAGCCACAAGAAAAGGCAUUCACCAAAGAGAACAGAGCCAGGAGAGAGCCUCUGGGAAAGAGAAGGCUUUAGAGACAUCGUUUUA
This 220-nucleotide long non-coding RNA is filed under the name Homo sapiens (human). RNAcentral describes it as "HSALNT0069468". The record is from RNAcentral. Lineage: Eukaryota; Metazoa; Chordata; Mammalia; Primates; Hominidae.